RNAcentral lists this transfer RNA (78 nucleotides) under Candidatus Bathyarchaeota archaeon. Its description in RNAcentral is "tRNA-Asp". It matches the Rfam family "tRNA". Rfam says of the family: Transfer RNA (tRNA) molecules are approximately 80 nucleotides in length. Their secondary structure includes four short double-helical elements and three loops (D, anti-codon, and T loops). Lineage: Archaea; Thermoproteati; Candidatus Bathyarchaeota. The record is from RNAcentral.
GCCUUGGUAGUAUAGGUCGGUCCAGUAUAAGCGGCUGUCGCCCGCUCGACCCGGGUUCGAAUCCCGGCCAAGGCGCCA